This 956-nucleotide long non-coding RNA is filed under the name Dunaliella salina. Its description in RNAcentral is "long non-coding RNA (DSAL_LNC000303)". Lineage: Eukaryota; Viridiplantae; Chlorophyta; Chlorophyceae; Chlamydomonadales; Dunaliellaceae. The record is from RNAcentral.
CGCUUUUGGCACAGGUGGCCUCUUUGGAAUUAUGUUCCCAGUCUUCUUCCUCCCAUCACCUGCGUGGAAUACGAAGACCAUUUUCAGCAGGGCCAACACAAGGGGAGAGCAUCCUGUCCAUGUUCCCAACAAAUGUAGCAGAGCAGAACAUAGCAGACGCGAAAAUUUCAAUUGAAAAAGCUGCACACAAGCAGCAAGUCAUGCUCCUCACCACAACCUGUGUCGCUGCCUCUAGCACAGCCAUCUCUCCUACCCCUCCUGUCCCCUUUAUCACCCAUGUGUAACAAAAGUGCACAGCAAGUUGGCCAUGACAGAAGGCAUUGUGCACCAAACUCCACCCUCACCCUCAGCAUGACUCAGCAUGCUUGGCAAGCCACAGCAGGCUACAGAGAAAAAAAGCUGCACACAAAAGGCAACUCAUGUGCAUGCUCCCUUGCACCUGUGCCUGUGUUGUUGCCGCCAGCACGGCCAUCGCUCCCGCCCCUUCCGUCUUGUUUGUUGCCUGUGUGUGCCAAAAGCGCACAGCAAGUUGACCUGACAGAAGACAGUCACAACAAACUCUGCCCUCACUCUCAGCAUGACCCAAGCAAGCCACAGCAGGCAACAGAAAAAAGCUGCACGCAAAAGGCACACCAGGUAACAAGUAGGGAACCUCAUUUAUUUCCUUUUGGGAGAAGCUUCUCACAUGUGCGUUGCAACUCCUAACUACGUGGUACAGGACAACACUUAGCCUUAGGGCCAGCGAGCCAUGCUUGCCCUUAGGCGUGGGUGGCCCCUAUGGGGCAUCGUUCCCAUGCUUCCUCCUCCCAUCACCUGUAUGGAAUAAAAAGAAGGCAAAGUAAUGAGCCAAUCCUUAAAUUCCUAAAAAGGAUGCGCUUGAAGGGCAUGCGGUCACAGCAUGCAAAGCAGCCUCGUUCUACACAGUCUGAGCUUGCAUGGGAAUCCUAAAUCUUAUG